This is a non-coding RNA of Potamilus streckersoni, 77 nucleotides long. Lineage: Eukaryota; Metazoa; Mollusca; Bivalvia; Unionida; Unionidae. The record is from the annotation of a GenBank genome assembly.
GACCACUCCGGUGGCCUAGUGGUUAGAGCCUCCACCUCUGAUGCAGGUGGUCGCGGUUUAGAUCCCCGGCUGAGUCA